Molecule: transfer RNA, 75 nt
Filed under: Acidobacteriota bacterium
Lineage: Bacteria; Pseudomonadati; Acidobacteriota
Description: Acidobacteria bacterium tRNA-Met
Rfam family: tRNA
About the family: Transfer RNA (tRNA) molecules are approximately 80 nucleotides in length.
Source: RNAcentral
GGGCCCAUAGCUCAGCGGUAGAGCCACCGGCUCAUAACCGGUCNGUCCCAGGUUCGAAUCCUGGUGGGCCCACCA